Molecule: non-coding RNA, 74 nt
Organism: Aphelenchus avenae
Lineage: Eukaryota; Metazoa; Nematoda; Chromadorea; Rhabditida; Aphelenchidae
Source: the annotation of a GenBank genome assembly
UUGUCGAUAUUCCGACUGGUACAAUAAAGACUGAAGAUCAUAAGGUCGCCGGUUCGAUCCCGGCUCGUGGCAAU